CCUACGGGUGGCAGCAGUGGGGGAUAUUGCACAAUGGGGGGAACCCUGAUGCAGCGACGCCGCGUGAGCGAAGAAGUACCUCGGUAUGUAAAGCUCUAUCAGCAGGGAAGAAAAUGACGGUACCUGACUAAGAAGCCCCGGCUAAAUACGUGCCAGCAGCCGCGGUAAUACGUAGGGGGCAAGCGUUAUCCGGAUUUACUGGGUGUAAAGGGAGCGCAGGCGGCCUGCCAAGUCUGGUGUGAAACCCCGGGGCUCAACCCCGGGACUGCAUUUGAAACUGGCGGGCUGGAGUGUAGGAGGGGCAGGCGGAAUUCAUGGUGUAGCGGUGAAAUGCGUAGAGAUUAGGAGGAACACCGGUGGCGAAGGCGGCCUGCUGGACGAGGACUGACGCUGAGGCUCGAAAGCGUGGGGAGCAAACAGGAUUAGAUACCCCGGUAGUC
This 440-nucleotide ribosomal RNA is filed under the name uncultured bacterium. Its description in RNAcentral is "partial 16S ribosomal RNA". It matches the Rfam family "Bacterial small subunit ribosomal RNA", at positions 338 to 795 of the family's 1533-position model. The record is from RNAcentral.